GACGAACGCUGGCGGCGUGCUUAACACAUGCAAGUCGAACGCUGAAGACCUGGCUUUUGUUGGGUUGGAUGAGUGGCGAACGGGUGAGUAACACGUGAGUAACCUGCCCUCUUCUUUGGGAUAACGCCCGGAAACGGGUGCUAAUACUGGAUAUUCACUGAUCUUCGCAUGGGGGUUGGUGGAAAGGUUUGUUCUGGUGGGGGAUGGGCUCGCGGCCUAUCAGCUUGUUGGUGGGGUGAUGGCCUACCAAGGCUUUGACGGGUAGCCGGCCUGGGAGGGUGACCGGUCACAUUGGGACUGGGAUACGGCCCAGACUCCUUCGGGAGGCAGCAGUGGGGAAUAUUGCACAAUGGGCGAAAGCCUGAUGCAGCGACGCCGCGUGAGGGAUGGAGGCCUUCGGGUUGUAAACCUCUUUCGCUCAUGGUCAAGCCGCAACUGUGGGUUGUGGUGAGGGUAGUGGGUAAAGAAGCGCCGGCUAACUACGUG
Molecule: ribosomal RNA, 486 nt
Filed under: uncultured bacterium
Lineage: Bacteria
Description: partial 16S ribosomal RNA
Rfam family: Bacterial small subunit ribosomal RNA
Source: RNAcentral